AUUGAACGCUGGCGGCAUGCUUUACACAUGCAAGUCGGACGAGUGGCGGACGGGUGAGUAAUAUAUCGGAACGUACCGAGUAAUGGGGGAUAACUAAUGGAAAGGUUAGCUAAUACCGCAUACUAUUCGAUGGGCCGAUAUCGGAUUAGCUAGUUGGGGGGGUAAAGGCCCACCAAGGCGACGAUCAGUAGCGGGUCUGAGAGGAUGAUCCGCCAACCUGGGACUGAGACACGGCCCAGACUCCUACGGGAGGCAGCAGUGGGGAAUAUUGGACAAUGGGCGCAAGCCUGAUCCAGCCAUGCCGCGUGUCUGAAGAAGGCCUUCGGGUUGUAAAGGACUUUUGUCAGGGAAGCGGUACCUGAAGAAUAAGCACCGGCUAACUACGUGCCAGCAGCCGCGGUAAUUC
RNAcentral lists this ribosomal RNA (406 nucleotides) under uncultured bacterium. Its description in RNAcentral is "partial 16S ribosomal RNA". It matches the Rfam family "Bacterial small subunit ribosomal RNA", at positions 30 to 526 of the family's 1533-position model. The record is from RNAcentral.